This is a long non-coding RNA of Gigantopelta aegis, 361 nucleotides long. RefSeq lists it as uncharacterized. The transcript has 4 exons. NCBI's taxonomy places the organism in Eukaryota, Metazoa, Mollusca, Gastropoda, Neomphalida, Peltospiridae. The record is from RefSeq and is a predicted model, not a curated record.
AAAGAAACAAGAAAAACGAAAGCGAAAGCGCCAUCGAAAAAUUCGAGGGAAACGACGAAUUAUUGGCCCAAAUGGAGAAGUUAUCUAUGAGGAGAGUGAUCCGGGUGAUGGCAGUGAUACAGAUUAUUCUGAUGAUUUUGAGGAAGAUGAAGAUGCGGAUGAAAAAGGCAAGAGCAGAAGACUUAAAAGAAAAGUUAGAACAUACACUAGACAACGAAUAGGACCAGAUGGAAAAGUGAUCACGGAGGAGGUAGAGAGCGAGUGCUAUGAGACAGACUCGGACGGUUCCGUGGAGUCGUGGCAACUAGAUCCAAUCCGGGUCCAAAUCCACGAGGCAAGAGAACAACGUAAACAGAUGCUC